GUGAGGAAUAUUGGGCAAUGGGCGCAAGCCUGACCCAGCCAUGCCGCGUGCAGGAAGACGGUCCUAUGGAUUGUAAACUGCUUUUAUACGGGAAGAAACACUCCCUCGUGAGGGAGCUUGACGGUACCGUAAGAAUAAGGAUCGGCUAACUCCGUGCCAGCAGCCGCGGUAAUACGGAGGAUCCAAGCGUUAUCCGGAAUCAUUGGGUUUAAAGGGUCCGUAGGCGGCCUUAUAAGUCAGUGGUGAAAUCCCAUCGCUCAACGAUGGAACUGCCAUUGAUACUGUAAGGCUUGAAUAAUUGUGAAGUAACUAGAAUAUGUAGUGUAGCGGUGAAAUGCUUAGAUAUUACAUGGAAUACCAAUUGCGAAGGCAGGUUACUAACAAUUGAUUGACGCUGAUGGACGAAAGCGUGGGGAGCGAACAGGAUUAGAAACCCUGGUAGUCC
Molecule: ribosomal RNA, 445 nt
Filed under: uncultured bacterium
Lineage: Bacteria
Description: partial 16S ribosomal RNA
Rfam family: Bacterial small subunit ribosomal RNA
Source: RNAcentral